Molecule: ribosomal RNA, 495 nt
Filed under: uncultured bacterium
Lineage: Bacteria
Description: partial 16S ribosomal RNA
Rfam family: Bacterial small subunit ribosomal RNA
Source: RNAcentral
UGGGGAAUAUUGCACAAUGGGCGAAAGCCUGAUGCAGCAACGCCGCGUGAGUGAUGAAGGUCUUCGGAUUGUAAAGCUCUGUCUUUUGGGACGAUAAUGACGGUACCAAAGGAGGAAGCCACGGCUAACUACGUGCCAGCAGCCGCGGUAAUACGUAGGUGGCGAGCGUUGUCCGGAUUUACUGGGCGUAAAGGGUGCGUAGGCGGAUGUUUAAGUGAGAUGUGAAAUACCCGGGCUUAACUUGGGUGCUGCAUUUCAAACUGGAUAUCUAGAGUGCAGGAGAGGAGAAUGGAAUUCCUAGUGUAGCGGUGAAAUGCGUAGAGAUUAGGAAGAACACCAGUGGCGAAGGCGAUUCUCUGGACUGUAACUGACGCUGAGGCACGAAAAGCGUGGGUAGCAAACAGGAUUAGAUACCCUGGUAGUCCACGCCGUAAACGAUGAGUACUAGGUGUAGGAGGUAUCGACCCCUUCUGCGCCGCAGUAAACACAUUAAAG